This 118-nucleotide ribosomal RNA is filed under the name Lepisosteus oculatus (spotted gar). Lineage: Eukaryota; Metazoa; Chordata; Actinopteri; Semionotiformes; Lepisosteidae. The record is from RNAcentral.
GUCAGCAGCUUUAUCACCCUUCAUUUCACAACUGGCAAUCCACUGAAGUUCAGCAGGAGUGAGCCUGGCCAGUACCUGGAUGGGAGACCUCCUGGGAAAGCUAAGUUUGCUGCUGGAA